CGACUUCCAUGUGCGAAGCGCGAUGAGGGGUCCCAAGUGCUUGCACUUAAGUGUAAGCUGUUUCUUUGUUUAAAAAGCAGAGAGAGGAGGGGCUGGGUAAGACGGGUGCCAGCCGCCGCGGUAAUACCUGCAGCUCAAGUGGUGACCGCUAUUAUUGGGCCUAAAACGUUCGUAGCCGGCUAAGUAAAUGCUUGGGUAAAUCGUGCCGCUUAACGGUACGAAUUCCGGGUAGACUGCUUAGCUUGAGACCGGGAGAAGCUAGAGGUACUCCUGGGGUAGGGGUGAAAUCCUGUAAUCCUGGGGGGACCACCAGUGGCGAAGGCGUCUAGCUAGAACGGGUCUGACGGUGAGGGACGAAACCCUGGGGCGCAAACCGGAUUAGAUACCCGGGUAGUCCAGGGCGCAAACGCUGCUUGCUUGAUGUUAGCUGGGCUCCGAGCUCAGCUAGUGUCGGAGAGAAGUUGUUAAGCAAGCUGCCUGGGAAGUACGAUCGCAAGAUUGAAACUUAAAGGAAUUGGCGGGGGAGCACAAGCCGAUC
RNAcentral lists this ribosomal RNA (538 nucleotides) under uncultured archaeon. RNAcentral describes it as "bacterial SSU rRNA". It matches the Rfam family "Archaeal small subunit ribosomal RNA", at positions 342 to 890 of the family's 1478-position model. The record is from RNAcentral.